Molecule: ribosomal RNA, 1147 nt
Filed under: Chlorociboria argentinensis
Lineage: Eukaryota; Fungi; Ascomycota; Leotiomycetes; Helotiales; Chlorociboriaceae
Description: SSU rRNA
Rfam family: Eukaryotic small subunit ribosomal RNA
Source: RNAcentral
UGUAACAAUUAUACAAUGUGAAACUGCGAAUGGCUCAUUAAAUCAGUUAUCGUUUAUUUGAUAGUACCUUACUACUUGGAUAACCGUGGUAAUUCUAGAGCUAAUACAUGCUAAAAACCUCGACUUCGGAAGGGGUGUAUUUAUUAGAUAAAAAACCAAUGCCCUUUGGGGCUCCUUGGUGAUUCAUAAUAACUUAACGAAUCGCAUGGCCUUGUGCCGGCGAUGGUUCAUUCAAAUUUCUGCCCUAUCAACUUUCGAUGAUAAGGUAGUGGCUUAUCAUGGUGUCAACGGGUAUCGGGGAAUUAGGUACGAUCACGCGACUUCUCUACCUGCCACUCGUGCUAACAUUAUUAUUAUAGGGUUCUAUUCCGGAGAGGGAGCCUGAGAAACGUAAGUUUGGCCUGAUCUAUCCCUAUAGUACGUAUACUAACAUUCUAUCUAGGGCUACCACAUCCAAGGAAGGCAGCAGGCGCGCAAAUUACCCAAUCCCGACUCGGGGAGGUAGUGACGAUAAAUACUGAUACAGGGCUCUUUUGGGUCUUGUAAUUGGAAUGAGUACAAUUUAAAUCCCUUAACGAGGAACAAUUGGAGGGCAAGUCUGGUGCCAGCAGCCGCGGUAAUUCCAGCUCCAAUAGCGUAUAUUAAAGUUGUUGCAGUUAAAAAGCUCGUAGUUGAACCUUGGGCCUGGCUGGCCGGUCCGCCUCACCGCGUGCACUGGUCCGGCUGGGUCUUUCCUUCUGGGGAGCCGCAUGCCCUUCACUGGGUGUGUCGGGGAACCAGGACUUUUACUUUGAAAAAAUUAGAGUGUUCAAAGCAGGCCUAUGCUCGAAUACAUUAGCAUGGAAUAAUAAAACAGGACGUUGCAGUUCUAUUUUGUUGGUUUCUAGGACCGCCGUAAUGAUUAAUAGGGAUAGUCGGGGGUAUCAAUAUUCAAUUGUCAGAGGUGAAAUUCUUGGAUUUAUUGAAGAUUAACUACUGCGAAAGCAUUUACCAAGGAUGUUUUCAUUAAUCAGUGAACGAAAGUUAGGGGAUCGAAGACGAUCAGAUACCGUCGUAGUCUUAACCAUAAACUAUGCCGACUAGGGAUCGGGCGAUGUUAUUUUUUUGACUCGCUCGGCACCUUACGAGAAAUCAAAGUCUUUGGGUU